GAGUUGAGUUGAGUUUUUUGGAAAGGACCUUUACAGGCUUACUAAAAUUAGAAACCGUUUGUCUUGGGUACAGUAGGGGUGACCCGCUCCGUCACAUGGAUUUAUAGAAUGAAUAUAUGCACCGCACCGGUAAUAUGAUCCACUAGCCUAUCACCCAAUGUCGUCCAAGGUAUCAAAGUUUCUCUCUUUCUUUCUCGACCCGCCCCCUUU
This 210-nucleotide long non-coding RNA is filed under the name Linum usitatissimum (flax). RNAcentral describes it as "long non-coding RNA (LUSI_LNC007922)". The record is from RNAcentral. Lineage: Eukaryota; Viridiplantae; Streptophyta; Magnoliopsida; Malpighiales; Linaceae.